CUGGGGGAUUAGUGGCGAACGGGUGAGUAACACGUGAGUAACCUGCCCUUGACUCUGGGAUAAGCCUGGGAAACUGGGUCUAAUACCGGAUACGACCAUCUGGCGCAUGUCAUGGUGGUGGAAAGCUUUUGUGGUUUUGGAUGGACUCGCGGCCUAUCAGCUUGUUGGUGGGGUAAUGGCCUACCAAGGCGACGACGGGUAGCCGGCCUGAGAGGGUGACCGGCCACACUGGGACUGAGACACGGCCCAGACUCCUACGGGAGGCAGCAGUGGGGAAUAUUGCACAAUGGGCGCAAGCCUGAUGCAGCGACGCCGCGUGAGGGAUGACGGCCUUCGGGUUGUAAACCUCUUUCAGUAGGGAAGAAGCGAAAGUGACGGUACCUGCAGAAGAAGCGCCGGCUAACUACGUGCCAGCAGCCGCGGUAAUACGUAGGGCGCAAGCGUUAUCCGGAAUUAUUGGGCGUAAAGAGCUCGUAGGCGGUUUGUCGCGUCUGCUGUGAAAGACCGGGGCUCAACUCCGGUUCUGCAGUGGGUACGGGCAGACUAGAGUGCAGUAGGGGAGACUGGAAUUCCUGGUGUAGCGGUGAAAUGCGCAGAUAUCAGGAGGAACACCGAUGGCGAAGGCAGGUCUCUGGGCUGUAACUGACGCUGAGGAGCGAAAGCAUGGGGAGCGAACAGGAUUAGAUACCCUGGUAGUCCAUGCCGUAAACGUUGGGCACUAGGUGUGGGGGACAUUCCACGUUUUCCGCGCCGUAGCUAACGCAUUAAGUGCCCCGCCUGGGGAGUACGGCCGCAAGGCUAAAACUCAAAGGAAUUGACGGGGGCCCGCACAAGCGGCGGAGCAUGCGGAUUAAUUCGAUGCAACGCGAAGAACCUUACCAAGGCUUGACAUGAACCGGAAAGACCUGGAAACAGGUGCCCCGCUUGCGGUCGGUUUACAGGUGGUGCAUGGUUGUCGUCAGCUCGUGUCGUGAGAUGUUGGGUUAAGUCCCGCAACGAGCGCAACCCUCGUUCUAUGUUGCCAGCGCGUUAUGGCGGGGACUCAUAGGAGACUGCCGGGGUCAACUCGGAGGAAGGUGGGGACGACGUCAAAUCAUCAUGCCCCUUAUGUCUUGGGCUUCACGCAUGCUACAAUGGCCGGUACAAAGGGUUGCGAUACUGUGAGGUGGAGCUAAUCCCAAAAAGCCGGUCUCAGUUCGGAUUGGGGUCUGCAACUCGACCCCAUGAAGUCGGAGUCGCUAGUAAUCGCAGAUCAGCAACGCUGCGGUGAAUACGUUCCCGGGCCUUGUACACACCGCCCGUCAAGUCACGAAAGUUGGUAA
Molecule: ribosomal RNA, 1322 nt
Filed under: Paenarthrobacter sp.
Lineage: Bacteria; Bacillati; Actinomycetota; Actinomycetes; Micrococcales; Micrococcaceae
Description: bacterial SSU rRNA
Rfam family: Bacterial small subunit ribosomal RNA
Source: RNAcentral